GGGGACCUAGUGCCAGGCUGGUGGUGUCCUGCUGUAGAUGUGGGGUUUUUUCCUUCUUUAUGGCUCCCUGAUGGUGGGCGGCACCCAGGGAGCCGGUGUGGAGCAGCCGGCUGGGCUGACGGCGGUGGAGGGAGCCUUGGUCCAGGUGAACUGCACGUACGGGACGUCUGGGUUCAACGGGCUCUCCUGGUACCAGCAGCGCGCCGGCGGGGCGCCGGUGUUUCUCUCUUACAUUGUGCUGGACGAGUUGCAAACCAGAGGUCGUUUUUCCACCUUCCUUAGUCGCUCUGACAGACACAGCCACCUCCUUCUGAGGAAGCUCCGGGUGACAGACUCUGCUUCCUACCUCUGUGCUGUGAGCGACACGGUGGCUGCGGGGCCUCUUCACCUGCACCGAAAUCCCUCGUCCUCGCGGAGCCAGGGGUGUUUCCUGCUGUGCAUUCGCAUUGCGGAGGGGGGGUGGUCUUAA
Castor canadensis (American beaver) is the source of this 469-nucleotide non-coding RNA. The record is from the annotation of a RefSeq genome assembly. NCBI's taxonomy places the organism in Eukaryota, Metazoa, Chordata, Mammalia, Rodentia, Castoridae.